AUUGAACGCUGGCGGCAGGCCUAACACAUGCAAGUCGAGCGGAGCGGCGGACGGGUGAGUAAUGCCUAGGAAUCUGCCUGGUAGUGGGGGAUAACGUCCGGACACGGGCGCUAAUACCGAAUACUAUCAGAUGAGCCUCGGUCGGAUUAGGUAGUUGGUGUGGUAAAGGCCUACCAAGGCGACGAUCAGUAACUGGUCUGAGAGGAUGAUCAGUCACACGGGAACUUAGACACGGUCCAGACUCCUACGGGAGGCAGCAGUGGGGAAGAGUGGACAAGGGGCGAAAGCCUGAUCCAGCCAUGCCGCGUGUGUGAAGAAGGUCUUCGGAGUGUAAAGCACUUUAAGUUGGGAGGCGUUACCAACAGAAUAAGCACCGGCUAACUUCGUGCCAGCAGCCGCGGUAAUUC
Molecule: ribosomal RNA, 407 nt
Filed under: uncultured bacterium
Lineage: Bacteria
Description: partial 16S ribosomal RNA
Rfam family: Bacterial small subunit ribosomal RNA
Source: RNAcentral